RNAcentral lists this long non-coding RNA (24272 nucleotides) under Citrus maxima (pomelo). RNAcentral's name for it is "long non-coding RNA (CMAX_LNC003498)". Lineage: Eukaryota; Viridiplantae; Streptophyta; Magnoliopsida; Sapindales; Rutaceae. The record is from RNAcentral.
UUCCAACAAUUCGAUUUGUGUUUGCUUCAAGAUCAUCUUUCACGAAAAUUCUAGCCAAGGCAAAAUCUGAUAUUUUAGGUUUCAAAUCUUCAUCCAACAAAAUAUUACUAACUUUUAAGUCUUGAUGAAUAAUUGUUAAUCUAGAAUAUUCUUGGAGAUAGAGAAGCCCCUGAAUAAUUCCUUGAAUGAUAUGAAUACGUUUUUUUCCAAUCCAAAAUAAACCUUCUGAUGGGAUCUGCAUCAAAUGUAAAUUUAGUUGGACGGUCAGUACCAUUAGCAUUUGGAGACGAGAAAUGCAAAUUGAGGCACAAAAAUUAGAAAUUAAGCAGUUAAGCACAUACAAAAAAGGAAAUAGUCUAAGCUUCGUUUUGGUAUAUACUCAUAGAUGAGCAUAUAUUCUUGUGUGUCAAUGCAAAAACCCAAAACUCUGAUCAAAUUUACGUGUUGAAGCUUUGCAGUAAGCAUAACCUCAUUCUUGAACUCCUCAAAUCCUUAUGUGGAUGUCUUCGAUAGUUUCUUCACUGCUAUUAUUUGUCCAUCAGAUAAUACACCCUGCAAGCACCCCCCAAAAUAUAUGUUUUUUUAAAAAUCAGUGUGUUCACACAUGUUGAAAAGUCAUGCACGUGACAUUGAAAUUCAAAAAUGAAUGCAAAAUUUCAAAUGGCUACCAAACAUUUGAAGAAAAAAUGGAAAGUUGGCAAAUUUGUCAAAUUUGCCAAAUGGACACCAUUGACUAUUGGCUUAGGUUAUGUGGAAUAGUAAAAGGGUUGGUGCAAUAGUGCCAUUAUUUUCCCUAUAAAUAGAUGGCACUUCUUCCAUUCUAAAUCAUCCCAAAAUUGUUAAGCUUAUAAGUUUCUAAGCUUUUGAGAGAAGUGAGAGAAGUGUGUCUGAGGAAUUUAUCUUUCCUGCAGAGUGUGAGAGUACUGGGUAUAUUUGGGUUUCUGGGAAGUGAGAUUCGUUACUCAAAUAUUGUAUUCUAUUAAUUGUUAAAUAAACAAUUAUUCUUUCUUGCCUUCGUGGAUGUAGGUUUAAUUACCAAACCACGUAAAUUCUUGUGUCCUUUAUUUUUCAGUAAUUAUUUGGUGCGCUUGAUUCCGCAUUCCGCGCACAACAAGUGGUAUCAGAGCCGACGGUUCGUACUUGGGGGGAUACGGUACUAUUCACGUAUACGGUACUGUUCACGUAUACGGUAAUGUUCAUGUAUACGGUACUAUUCACGAAUACGUUGGAGACGGCCAUUUGUACUUGGGAGACAGUCUAUUGUAAGUAGUGUGUAUUUUUGCAUGUCUAGGAAAGUUCUGUCAAAAAAGGCGAUAAGAGUCUAAGGAUUCUGGUUUUUAAUUGGGACCGAAUUCCCGUCCAGUUUUCUGGGAACUUUCCUGGUGCAUUUAUUCACGCGAAAUUAACAUCAUAGAGGCUGUUUUUCAAGUGGAAAUAGUUCGUUGAGAAAAAUCGUAGAAGGUGAAACUUCCAGAAUUGGGGAGAGAUCUACCGAGACUAUUUCAGGAGACAUUUCAGGUGGGAGGCGAGAUUUGUCAAAUCGCUAUUCAGCACCUGUUAUAGGAGGCCAGAAGAUCGAUGUUGAAAAGUUUGAUGGGAAAAUCAACUUCGGCAUGUGGAGGCGCGAAGUUAUGGAUGCCCUUAUUCAAAUCGAUCUCGAUGUUGUCCUGAAAAAUAAAAGACACUUGUAUGAUGAAGAAAUUUGGGAUCGUAUGAACGAGAAAGCCUGUGGUCAGAUCAGAUCUUGUUUGACCAAGGAGGUGAAAUACUUGGUGAAAGAUGAGGAGUGUGCAGUGACUUUGUGGCGUACAUUGGAAGAGAAGUACCUGGUGAAAAGUCCUGAAAAUCGUCUUCAUGCAAUGAGCCAAGUAUAUGGCUUUCGAAUGAAGUCUGGGGUGUCAAUGCACGAUCAUGUUUCAAGAUUUAAAAAGUUACUUGCUGAUUUGAAGAAUCUUGAUGAAGAUAUUAAAGAUGAAGUCAAUGCUAUGAUUCUGUUACACUCACUACCAGAGGAAUAUAGCCAUUUUGUGACUACUUUGAUAUAUGGGAAGAGUGUGAUCGUCUUUAAAGAUGUUUGCACAGCAUUGACUAGUUUGGAGAUUCGGAAUAAUGAUAAAAAUUCUGAACGAGCAUCGUCUGAAGCUUUGGUGAGCAGAGAUUGGGCGAUGGAGAAAAAGAUAAAUGGUGGUGGAAAGAAUUCUCGAUCCAAAUCGAGAAGCAGAAAUAUAGCUCGAGAUGAGUGUGCCUUUUGUCAUGAAAAGGGCCAUUGGAGGAAAGAUUGUCCAAAGGCUCAAAAGAGAGAUGGGAAAAAACCAGCAUCAGCAAACAUGGCACGGAAAGAUGAGGACUCUGAUUAUUCACUAAGUAUCACUCCUGCAGCAUAUGUGGCUAGUUCGAGUGAGUGGAUACUUGAUACUGGAGCAACCUAUCAUUUGUGUCAUAUUAAGGAAUGGUUUACGGAUUUUCGUAAUCUGGAAUCCGGUGCAGUUAUGAUGGGGAAUAAUCAACCUUGUCGCACAAUGGGGAUAGGAACAAUUCGGCUCAAAAUGUUUGAUGGAAUGGUCAGAGAACUCAAAGAGGUUAGAUUUGUUCCAGAGAUAAAGAAAAAUCUAAUUUCUGUGGGUGCUUUGGAAGCUAAAGGUUACAAAGUUACCAUUGAAGAUGGCACAAUGAAGUUUACACAUGGGGCUAUGGUGAUUCUGCAAGGGGUUCGGCGUCACAAUCUGUACUAUUUGAAAGGAGGUACAACUGAUGAAGCAAAUGUUGUUGAGGCGCACAGUGACACCACCAAGCUAUGGCAUGUACGACUGGGACAUGCAGGAGAGAAGUCUUUGCAAACUCUGAUGAGGCAUGGACUCUUAAAAGGUAUCAAAACCUGUAAAUUAAAUUUCUGUGAGCAUUGUGUAGUAGGCAAAAAAACAAGGGUCAAGUUUGGUACAGCUAAUCACGAUACUCGUGAGAUCCUUGAAUAUGUUCAUAGUGAUGUAUGGGGACCAACCAAGACUGCAUCAAUUGGUGGAAGCCAUUAUUUUGUUAUAUUUGUUGAUGAUUUCUCUAGACGUGUAUGGGUGUACACCAUGCGAGCAAAGGAUGAGGUUCUAGAGAUUUUCGUGAAGUGGAAGAAAUUGGUGGAGACUCAAACUGGCAGAAAGAUCAAAGUAUUACGAUCUGAUAAUGGGGGUGAAUAUACUUCUGAUCCAUUCUUGCAAGUAUGCCAGAACGAGGGUAUUAAAAGACAUUUCACAGUGAGACAUACUCCGCAACAGAACGGUGUGGCUGAGCGUAUGAAUCGUACUUUACUGGAGAAGGUACGAUGUAUGUUAUCUAAUGCUGGUUUAGAUAAAAAGUUUUGGCCUGAAACUGUGAGCUACGCAAGUCACUUGGUAAAUCGGUUGCCUUCUGCUGCAAUUGGAGGUAAAACUCCUAUGGAAAUGUGGUUUGGAAAGCAUGCACAAGACUAUGAUUCCCUUCGUGUAUUCGGGUGUCCAGCUUAUUAUCAUGUCAAAGAUGGUAAACUGGAUCCUCGUGCUAGAAAAUCUAUCUUUGUGGGAUUCAAAGGUAGAGUAAAGUGCUUCAAGCUUUGGGAUCUCGAAGACAAAAAGUUUGUGUGUAGCAGAGAUGUCACAUUUGAUGAAGCUUCAAUGAUAAAAGCUUCAAGUUCUCAGCAGGUGGAGAACAAGACCACAUAUGUAUUGCAGCGGGUGGAGUUUGAUGCAACUCCAUAUGUACCAGUUAGUUCUACAUCAAAGAAUGGUUCAACUAUGGAGGUGACACCUAAAGUUGAAGAAGAGGUUGUUUCUUCUGAUGUCCCACAAAAUGAAGAAACAAUUGAUGAUGUAGAUGAUGAUGAUUUUAUAGCAACAAGGAGGCCAAGAAGAGAGAUAAAGAAACACGGAUGGCUUACUAAAGAUAUGGUGGUAGCCUAUGCACUUUCAGUUAUUGAUGAUGACAUCCCCAAUACUUUCGGUGAAGCAUUACGCAGUAAUGAAAGUGAUCAGUGGAAGCUAGCCAUGGAGGAAGAGAUGAAAUCUCUCCAUCAAAACCAGACUUGGGAACUUGUAAAGUUACCAAAGGGGAAAAGGGCUAUUGGCAAUAAAUGGGUCUACACCAAAAAGCAAGGAUCUCCGAAUCAAACAACUCCUCGAUACAAGGCAAGGCUCGUGGCAAAAGGUUUUGCUCAAAAGGAAGGUAUUGACUACAAUGAAGUUUUGUCUCCAGUUGUAAAACAUACUUCCAUUCGUAUCCUACUUGCCUUAGUUGCAGAAUAUGAAUUAGAGUUGGCUCAGUUGGAUGUUAAGACGGCGUUCUUACAUGGAGAUUUGGAGGAGGAAAUCUACAUGAUUCAGCCUUGUGGUUUUAGAGUUGCUGGAAAGGAGAAUCAUGUGUGUAGGUUGAUUAAAUCUUUGUACGGACUGAAGCAAUCGCCAAGGCAGUGGUAUAAAAGAUUUGAUCAAUUUAUACAAGGGCAGAAAUUCACCAGAAGUGAACACGAUCAUUGUGUUUACUUUAGAAGACUACCAGAUAGAGCUUUCAUCUAUUUGCUACUCUAUGUCGACGAUAUGCUUAUAGCUUCGAAGAAUAGAGAUGAGAUCGAAAGAUUAAAGAAGCAGCUGGCUUCUGAGUUCGAGAUGAAAGACUUGGGUGAUGCACAGAGAAUACUUGGGAUGGAGAUUUGUAGAGACAAGAAGAAUGGGAGCGUAUGGUUGACUCAAAAGUCUUAUUUGAAGAAAGUGCUAGAAAGAUUCGGUAUGGAUGACAAAACUAAACCGGUAUGUACACCUCUAGCUCCUCAUUUCAAAUUAGGCUCUUCUUCAUGUCCUAAAUCUCAAGAGGAGCGCGAUUACAUGGCUCGUGUUCCAUAUGCUAGUGCUGUGGGUAGUCUUAUGUAUGCUAUGGUAUGUACAAGGCCCGAUAUAUCUCAAGCAGUAAGCAUGGUUAGUAGAUACAUGCACGAUCCGGGUAAAAGUCACUGGCUUGCAGUAAAGUGGAUUCUUCGAUAUCUGUAUGGGACAGUUGAUGUUGGGUUAUUGUUCAAGAAGGAUUGUGGUCAACAAUGUGUUGGCUAUUGUGAUUCUGAUUUCGCUGGAGACCUUGACAAGCGAAGAUCAACAACGGGCUACGUAUUCACAUUGGGUGGAGGUCCAGUUAGCUGGAGGUCAAUUUUGCAAUCGACAAUUGCUCUGUCCACUACGGAAGCAGAGUACAUGGCAACAACUGAAGCUGUAAAGGAAGCUAUCUGGUUGAAAGGCUUGUUAGGUGAUUUGGGAGUAAUCCAGGAGAACAUUACGGUCUUCUGUGAUAAUCAAAGUGCGAUAUUCCUUGCGAAGAAUCAAACAUAUCACGCUCGGACAAAGCACAUAGAUGUGAAAUAUCAUUAUGUGAGAGAGAUUAUCGAGAGCGAUGUUGUGUUGUUGAGAAAGAUCGAUACCAAAGAUAAUCCAUCAGAUAUGUUGACGAAGGUAGUUUCUGGAGUUAAGUAUCAACAUUUCUUGAAAUUAAUUCAAAUCCUUCGAUUGUGUUAAAGAUAUGUCCUUCGGGAAUUUUGAACUACGGUUGGCUUGAUCCCAAAUUUUGGGUACGUAGGCAGUCGAAACGACACAGCCAUUCUGGAUCCUUAUUGAAGGAUCACUUUGGGGAUGAGGGUUCGUUGGUAGUCGGCUCAGAUUUGGACAAAUUUUCGCCGAGGUGGAGAAUUGUUGAAAAGUCAUGCACGUGACAUUGAAAUUCAAAAAUGAAUGCAAAAUUUCAAAUGGCUACCAAACAUUUGAAGAAAAAAUGGAAAGUUGGCAAAUUUGUCAAAUUUGCCAAAUGGACACCAUUGACUAUUGGCUUAGGUUAUGUGGAAUAGUAAAAGGGUUGGUGCAAUAGUGCCAUUAUUUUCCCUAUAAAUAGAUGGCACUUCUUCCAUUCUAAAUCAUCCCAAAAUUGUUAAGCUUAUAAGUUUCUAAGCUUUUGAGAGAAGUGAGAGAAGUGUCUGAGGAAUUUAUCUUUCCUGCAGAGUGUGAGAGUACUGGGUAUAUUUGGGUUUCUGGGAAGUGAGAUUCGUUACUCAAAUAUUGUAUUCUAUUAAUUGUUAAAUAAACAAUUAUUCUUUCUUGCCUUCGUGGAUGUAGGUUUAAUUACCGAACCACGUAAAUUCUUGUGUCCUUUAUUUUUCAGUAAUUAUUUGGUGCGCUUGAUUCCGCAUUCCGCGCACAACAACACACACACACGUAGCUUGCACUAAUUAAUUAAUAAGCUGAGAGAUAACCAAGCUACCGAUACAUAACCUUGUAAACAGGACCAUAUCCACCCUCCCCGAGCUUAUUUUCAAUUAAAAAUCUAUCCGUGGCCACCUCAAUAUCAGCCAAGCUAUAUUCUCUCAGAUCAGGAUCAUUGCUGUUAAAAUCUCCAGCAUCCGCUUGUCUAUUUUCGCUGUCCUUUGAUGCUUUGGCUGAGUCAAUUACGGUCCAAUUAAUAUCAACCAAGAGAAAGAAAGCUAAUUUAAGUGAAUCGCCCACUUCUUCAUCUGUGUUAAAUGGAAUAGAAGUAAAAAUAUUCCUAAUCCCGUGUAGAAGAAGUUACCUUUUAAUUUGAGGUUUUUCAUCCAGCAGUAGUAAUACAGCAAAAAGCCUAUUAGAAGAAUACAAGCUGCAGUUAUAGGCAAAACAAUUGCCCAUAAUAGCCGCUUAUUUUGUCGAUUCCUUUCAUCCUCUUCAGCUGAAAAGUCAAAUCACUUUGUGUUAUUUAACCACUGAUGGUCAAAUAAAGAUCUUAAUUGAAGUCAUUAUGCAGAGAACUGAUCGAAUGGGUAGCAGGCAGUGAGUGAGGCUUUGCAUUUGCUUACCUGCAGCUUGAGAAAGCAUCCAAUAAUGAUCACUGGAAACUUGCCACACAUAGUAACCACGUAGCUUCUUUUCCUUGGCAUAUGCAACCUUCACUCUAACAGCCUCGACAUCAUCAAAACCAAACCAAAUCUUCCCAAUCGAGCAGUAAUUCACGACAUAAGUUGAAUUGUACAUUACUUGAACAUUAGGACGAUAGUUCUUGAUGUGAUUCUUGACUUCCUUAUAAGUCACAAGGCCAUCAUCAUGCAAAGCUGGUCCUGUUGUUGCUGCGCCAAUGCCAUUGUCCUCAGGUUUCACAAGCGUCCAUGCAUAGCCAUAAAAAGGCAAACAUAAAACCAAUUUAUCAGCCGAUAACCCUUCCUCAAUCCAUUCCGUGAUUCCAUAUUCAGUAUUAGAGACACUAUUUGGAUCAUACAGAGCCGCAUGAGCACCAGUAAAAUUUUUCCGCGUAGGGCUUGAGUAUUCGGUAGUGAUAACAUGAACCCAAUUCAAGUACUGUCUUAUCGAGUCGACUGGAUAAGCUGCUGCUGUUGAGAGUGGUGAAUAUGCGACCUUUGCUGUCAAAAUCAACUGUGAUUGGCUCGAGUUAUUUCUUGCUUCUAAAGCAACGGCAGCUCGCCAUUCUUUUAAAGAGAAUGCCAAUAUUGUACUUAUCCCAGUUUGUGUUUGCCUGAUUCCAAGACAGAUCUAAGCCUUGAAAGCCAUAAAGCCUUGCUAUUUUUAUUGAGGAGUCAAUAAAGUAUUUCCUGAAAGAAGGAUUGCCCGCCAUGGAAGAAUAACUUGAAUAGUUUGGAUUAUUGCCUCCUCCGAUGGAAAGAAGAGUAGUGAUUGAUGGGUUCUUUAUUUUGACAGUGUCUGUGAAGUUGGAGAAUUGUUUUUCAUCAGAAGGUGAUAAAGAAAGCUCAUAGGAAGUUGAGUUGACAUCGGCAAAACCACACAUAAGGUGAGUGAAAAGAGCAGAAUUUACAUCUGAAACGGGGAACCCACCGUCUGAAUCCCAGUAACCAGCUCUGAUUAAAGUUUGUGCCCUUGCAGGAAGCGAUUCUGAAAAUAUAAAAAUGUAGAGUACAAGAAUGAUAAUUUUGGAUGCCAUUGUGGGAACCUUGCUGCUUUGAGGCAAACCUAGUAUGUGAUUACAUAUAUAUGUACAGACACAAAAUGUAAUGGAGAAAAUAUCCGACACCGAUUGAGAUUUGUUAUUGGACUAUAAUACAAACUUGAGGCAACUUUCAACUCAUGAGCUUAGCUCAUAAGUCUUUAUACGGUAUCAAAGUCAAGUUUCGAAAGAGUGACUCUAUACUACCUUUCAAUUUAACAAAGAGAAAGAAAAGAGAUCAGCCUACACGUGGUAGGAAGAUAGAAAAAGUAUAUCACAUUGGCUAAGAUUAAUUACUAGGUUGAUAAUAUAAGCUCAAAACAACAUUUAACUGUUGCGGAAAUGUGGGUUGAGCAAUUACUAAUACUGCAACUUCUGAAGAAAUAUAAAUGUGGUGUUAAACAAAUGCAAAGAAAAUAUAACACAAUGAUUUACGUGGUUCGGCGUAAUGCUUACAUCCACAGGCAAAAACUAAAAGAUAAUUUUACUAACAAUGAAAAUUUACAAAAGUGAGAAAAAUUCACAAAACCCACAACCCCAAUACACCCAAAUGAAACCUAACUAGAACACUCAAAUGGAAGCUCUCGUAAAUUCUCUCAAAGAACUCACUUGCAAUUGCUCUCUCCAUUUCUUUCAAAUUGGGAUGAUUUACAAAUGCAUUUUGCUUCUCUAUUUAUAGGCAAAGCAUGCUCACCCACCACACGGCUUCAAUUUGACUUUAAUUGGCUAAAUUGACAAAUUUGGCAAUUGGUGCCAAAUUUGUCAUGCAAUGCAUGCUAGCUGUUCCAUGCCAUUUAUUCAAUUUGCAUAUUUUCAAAACCUAACUUUGCUUUUUUGAAAUUGGUAAGCCGACCAUUUGACUUUUCAACAUCAACUCCAUAACAAGCUGUAAUUUAAUAAAGUUAGGUCAACUCGAUAUUUUAUAUAGUACGUCAUGAGUGAGGAGGAGUUUAAGCUACAAAUCGCAGUCAUGAGUGAGGACAAAUUUGAUUCUCUCAAGAUUUUGCGUUUUGUACACGUUGAUCAUGGACUGAAUCAAAAUAGAAAAUAUUUUCACAGGAGUUUGCCUUCAAAUUGCACGAAUGGAACCAUAGAGGAAUACAUCGAAAAGUUUGUCUUCUUGCCAUGAUGUUAAGUGAGAAGAUUGAAGUUCUUAAAUUAAGCUAUGACGUUUUACCUCCACUUAGCUUGACUUCUGAAGCUGAAGACUCAUCCUUUUGCAUUGACUUUGUUGGUAUUUAAAUGACCUCGGAGUCUUGGACGUGUUUCUGAAGCAAUGUCAUGGUCUAUGAGUAGAUUUUAUUUUUUGGGUAAGAAAGGGAAAGUCUGUCGUUAGGAAAACAUCCUGACAACGAGAUGGUGAGAGGGGAUGAAAAAGAAAUUAUACACUUAGUUACUUCCUCAUGAUAAGAUUCAGUGGUAUUGUAAUUUUAAUAAAAAAUUAAGACCAUUUUGCCUUUUUCCUUGUGUAAUUUAAUUUUCAGUCAAGACCACCCUCCCAUUUUAGUACAGGGAAAUUAUCAUUUGUAUAUUCUUAGUUUACUCCAUUAUCAAAAAUAUUACAACACUUUGAGGGUGUAUCAAUCGUCUACCCUAAGUUGACAAAAUGUAUUAGCUGACCACCAAACCGUUAGUUGCCGUUUAAGUAUGAUGAUAUCAGAAGGGUAAUUUGGUUUUUUCAUAUGAUACAAGUGAUAAUUUAAGGGUAUACAAGUGAUAAAAAGAGAAUUUAAGGGUAUACAAGUGAUAAUUUUCAAGGGUAAAAUCGUCAAUUCACUGUAAUUCCGUUAACUUUCAAACGGCAACUAACGGUUUGGUGGUCGGCUGAUACAUUUUGUCAACUAAGGGUGGACGAUUGAUACACCCUCAAAGUGUUGUAGUAGUUUUGAUAACAGAGCAAAUAUAAGGUAUACGAAUGAUAAUUUUCCUUUAGUAUAAAAGCCUAUACAAAUGUACGUUUUACUCAAUGUUUACAUAGAAACAAAUGGCGCGAAGACGAUUUGUCAAUCUAGUACCACUCUCGUAUACUUGGUAAGAUUUGGCUUCACCAAAUUGUAGCCUAUAUUUUACUUUAAUGAGAAAAUCAAAUAAUAUAUGUUUGAACAAAUAAUUUUCUUUGCUCUAUAUACUUUCUUAAAAUGUAUGGAGUGGGUAAAGUAUAAAUUGAUCUCUUAGCCCGUUGACUCCUCCAAAAUUCAAACUCAAUUUAAUGGUAAGUUAAAUAAUGCUACUUGAAAAUCAUUCCACCAAAUAUCAUAAAAACUAUAAUUAAGUUUCACUGAUUAUUGAAUUAUAGAAUGUGCUAUCAUUUCCUAGCUAGAAUUUGUUUAAUUCUAUUAAUUUACAAUCAUUUUUAUUUUAUUUAAUUAAUUAAAGUGAAUUUAUUAUGUAUAAGUUCUAUAUAUGUAAAAUUUUAAAAUCUAAUGUUGAAUUGAAUUGUACUGAACUUUUUAUAAUUUUUUAUCACGCCUGCAAAUUUAACAGUUUUGUAUUAAUAUUGAUAGCACAUAAUAUAUAGGAUUAAGAGAGAUUGGUUUCGAGUUGCUACAAGCAUUUUGGGAUUGCAUGCACAAGGGUUUAUAAACAAAGGGUGCAAUUAAUUACCCCAAACGAGGGUGCAUUUUUAUGAUGAAAUAAAAACUACGUGCGGGGUUGUAAAAGUGGCUCCAUAAUUAAUGUACAUUAACAUUCAUCUAGCUAUCACCUCCGAAAAUGAUACAGCAUAAGCCGAGCAUUUUUCCAAUUGUGUUGUAGAUAAUAGUUCAAUCCCAAUUUCAUCAACUUGUUUUGAGAAAGGAGGCUUCUUGGGAGUAUUAAUAUUUGUGGUUCCAUUCUUGAGCAUUGAGGAAACUUCCAGCAUUGAAGGUCGGUCGUUUGGAUUCUCCUGGACACACAACAAAGCUAUUUCCAGACAUCUCAUUAAUUUACAAGGGGAAUUUGUAUUGUCUAGGAAUGAAUCCACAAACUCCACGCCUUUGCCACCUUUCCACAACUGAUAUGCCUGAAAUUAUCAAGUACCAUCUCGUUACAUAAUUUAUACUUCUUAAUUAAGUGCGCAUAUGUGUACUCAGGGUUACUAUAGCCGAAGAAACUUACGUGCUCUAGAAUGCUUAAAUUUUCAUUGAUGCCACAUAACACUGAAAGCCUCUUUCCACUUAUGAUUUGUAGAAGUAAAACUCCGAAACUAAAAACGUCUGAUUUGGUAGAGUAUACACCUUGUCUGGCGUACUCAGGAGGAAUAUAGCCUCUGCAUUCAAAAUAACCAAGUAUAUAUGAGUAAGGGAUUUUGCAAUUUAAUAAAUUUGUAAAACCCAUUUUAAAUUGUGGUAAAAGUCCAUUCCGCAUUUUAUUAAAGUGCUGAAUUCCUUAUUCGAAACCCAAUAUAUGUAUAACAAACAGAAGCUUGAGUAAAGGAUAUCAUUUAGUUGUGAUAUACUUACAUUGUUCCCACAACUUGUUCUGAUUCGCGUCGAGACUCUCUUUUGCAAAAAUUCUAGCCAUACCAAAAUUUGAAAUUUUAGGUUUCAUAUCUUGACCUAACAAAACAUUACUGGCUUUCAAGUCUCGAUGAAUAAUAGUCAGUCUUGAGUAUUCUUGGAGGUAUAAAAGUCCUUGAGUUAUCCCUUCAAUGAUAUGAACAUGUUUUUUCCAAUCCAAAAGAAGUCUUCUGAUGGGAUCUACAACAAAUAUAUAGUUUUGGACAAUAAGUGAUAUACAAGCGAAUUAUAUACACAAUUGAUAUUAACUUGAUUUCAGAACAAACCAAAAAGGUAGCAAUCCAAGCUUUUGUUUGGCAUGUAUUCGUAGACCAGCAUCCGUUCCUCACUGUCAAUGCAAAAACCUAAAACUCUAAUAAGAUUUACAUGUUGGAGUUUUGCAGUAAGAAUAACCUCAUUCUUAAACUCCUCAAAUCCCUGUGCGGAUGAUUUCGAAAGUUUCUUCACUGCUAUCACCACUCCACAGGGUAAUACACCCUGCAACCCAAAAAAAAACCACGUUCAUAUAAAGCUUUCACUAAUUAGAGACGCUGAGAAAUGUUAGCCAAACAAUAUGCUACCCCCCAAAGUUGAGGGCACCAUUUUAAGUCCUUUAGUCCCCAUGGACGCAAAAUGUAAAUCUCCUCUCACAGAAUAUGGAUAUGGGUAGAGGUAUCUUCCUCAAAUGUUAGUCAAAGUAGUUAUAUCCCUCUAGUGUGAGGUUAAAGGUCUCAUCUCUAAUAGGCAUAGAGUUUUAAAUUAUAUGUUUUGGGCCUCUGAAUUCUACGACGAGUGUACAAAUUCAAACUUCCGAUAGGAUCCAAAUUGCAACAUUGUGGAUUGUAACAAAUUAAAAUAUAGGUACACACACACACACACAUGUUACCUUGUAAACAGGACCAUAUCCACCCUCCCCAAGGUUAUUUCUAAUUGAAAAUCCCUCGGUGGCCGCCUCAAUAUCAGCCAAACUAUAUACUCUGAGAUUAGGAACAUUUCUGUUAAAGUCUCCAGCUUCUGUUUCAUUAUUUUCUCUCGUGUUUGAUGCUUUAGCAGAAUCCUCUGUUCCUAACAUCAACCAAGAGUAAAUAUUAGAUAAUUAAUUGUAUGUCAGCCUAAGUUUUAUAUAUAUAUGAAAUGCAUGCUUAAUUAUAAUUGGUAGCUGAAGCUUGUUACCUUCUAUUAACUUGAGCCUUUUCAUCUGGUUGUAUUUAUAUGCACAACAACUUAGAAGGAGAGUCAAAGCUGCCGCUGCAGUCGAAAUGAGUACCAAGGACAGAUGGCGGUUAUUACUAUGUUCAUCUUUGUCAGCUGAAGCAGAAGUAAUCCUGUCUUUUUGUGCUGGAAAUAUGUAUAGUUCAGCAAUUAAUAAUAACUAGCUAGAGAUGCCAUAACAAUCAUUAUUAAUCAGAGAGAACAAUUAUUGCAUAGAUAAAUACCUGCAGCUUGAGAAAGUACCCAAUUAUGAUCGUCAUAAUCAACUCGCCAAACAUAGUAACCAAGAAAUCUCUUCUCUUUGGCAUAGGCGAUCUUAGCUCUAACAGCCUCCACAUCAUCAAAACCAAACCAAAUCGUCCCAGUGGAGAAGUAAUUCACCACAUAAGUUGAAUUGUACAUAACUUGAACAUUAGGACCAUAGGUCUUGAUGUGAUUCUUGAUAUCCCUAUAGGUCACAAGGCCACCAUUACUCAUAGCUGGUCCUGCUGCUGCUACUCCAAUACCAUUGUCUUCAGGUUUCACAAGCGUCCAUGCAUAGCCGUAGAAAGGCAAACACAAAACCAACUUAUCAGCCAAUAACCCUCUCUAAAUCCAUGCCCUUAAAACCUGAUCAGUACUGUCAAAGAAGCUCAUAAUGCAUGGAAGGAUGCAGCACACGUGUGAGAUGAAUAUAGUCAGCUGAAUCAAUUGAAGAGUGGAGUGCCAGCUCAGCUGAAGUUAGUUAGACACGUUAAGAUCAAGUUUUAGUUAGUUCUUCAUUUUCUGUUAAGCUGAAAAACAGCUGAGUAUAAAUACAAGCAUAUUGUAAUCAUUUUGAGGUUAAGUAAAAAUAAAAUAAAGCAUUUGAUUCCAGAAUUUCUUUUACAAAUUUUCUUAGCACUUUAGAUACAUUUUCUCAGUAACCAAACAGUUUGUUCAUUCAAGCUUUUAAGCUUUCAAACAUGGUAUCAGAGCCUUACAGAGCUAGUUCCAGUAAUCAACAGUCAAGCCUUCGUAAUCAAACAACAAACAACACAAAUCAACCUACUCAAAUCAACUUCUCUUUUUCUAAUCCUAUCAAGCUAGAUCGAUCCAAUUACUUACUCUGGCGUUCUCAAGUUUUGGCCUCAAUAAGAGGCAAUCGUUUGGAAGAUUUCGUCACAAGAGCCAGAUCAGUACCUGAUAAGUGUCUUCUGUUAACUGAAGCAGAUGGAUCUACACAACAAGUUGAAAAUCCAGAAUAUCAGAUCUGGAGAUCACAGGAUCAGACACUUCUUGGCUGGCUACUGUUGUCAUUAAGUGAAGGUAUCUUAAGUCUUGUAAUCAAUUGUGAGAGUUCAUUUGAUAUAUGGAAAACUUUGGAAAAGAAAUUUGGAGUUCAAUCUGAAGCUCGAGUUCUUCAGCUCAGAUACGAACUAAACACUCUUAAAAAGGAAGCCCUUAGUGUUGAAGAUUAUUGUAUUAAAAUGAAAGCAAUAGCAGAUAAGCUGGCCAGUGCUGGUAGUUCAAUUACAGAGAAGGAUCUUAUGCUAACUAUUCUUAAUGGAUUAGGAUCAUGAUAUCGUGAUAUUGCUACAUUUAUAACUGGUUCACGAAUGGAGUUUGAUGAUGCUUAUGCACUGUUACUCACUCAUGAGACUAGAUUAGAGCAGGAGCAAGGUGACAAAAGUAUGUUUAAUGCAAACUAUGCAUACACAAAUGCAUAUUAUCCUAGAGCUUAUUUUGCACAGCCUAGAAGAAGUUUUAAACGAGGAGGUUAUUCUGGUGGUAGAACUCCUUUCUUUGGCAGAGGAAAUAUGAAUUACUCUCCAAGAAUGUUUAAUGGAGGCUUUAGAAAUGGAUAUGGCAGAGGAUUUUUUCCUGGAAAUAACUCAACUGAUUUCAAUCAUUUUCCAGCUCCUAGGAAUCCAGUACCUAGGAACUCAUCUUUUCCAGCUAGAAAUGGAUCUGCUAACAUGAGUGGAUCACAAGGAAGUUUUAAUAAUGCUGGAGAGAUGACAUGUCAGAUUUGUUUUAAGAAUGGCCAUACUGCUGAUGUCUGUUGGCACAGAUUUGUUGAAGAUUUUGUACCUGUUCCAAGAGGUUUUGGCAAGGGAAGAACACCAAGAGCAGCAUAUUUAUCAAACUUUGAUGGCUCCAUUUCUAAUCCAGAUUUUGGCUAUGAAAAUCUUAAUACUAUGUUUCCAGGUUAUGACUCUAUAUCUGGCAAUAGCUACUAUUCUGGAAUGGAUGGAUACACUUCUGGAGCAGCUAGAACAGCUUUCAUGGCAAAUUUUGAAGGGACUGCUGAUGAUGGAUGGUAUCUGGAUAGUGGGGCAACUCACCAUUUAACCAACAAUAUGGAGAAUUUGCAGAUCAAUGAAGAGUUUAAAGGUACUGAUUAGCUUAUCAUUGGAAAUGGUCAAGGUUUGUCUAUUACUCAUGUUGGACAUGCAUUUCUGGUAUUAAGAGCUUCUAAACCCUUAUCUACACAUGCUAGAAUAAAACUUAAAGAUAUGUUACUUGUCCCUUCAAUUACCAAAAAUCUAUUAAGUAUUUCUAAACUCACAUCUGAUAACCCUUUAUCUGUUGAAUUCUGUGGAAAUGCUUGUUUUGUGAAGGACAUGAAGGGUCAAGUUCUUCUGCAGGGUAUUGCUGAAAAAGGCCUUUACAAGCUGCUGCUGAACUCAAAUUCUCUUUCUUCAUCACCUACAUCUUAUCUUUGUAAAUCCCAGCCAAAUAAACUAGUCUCUAUGUUGUCUGCUUUCAAACACUCUGAUAAUGGUACUCGAGCUUGUUUUCAGUUUGUUUUAAAUAAGUGUAAUGCCAAACCUAAUGUAAUAACUUUGUUACAUAGAAAGUUUGGUCAUCCAAGCUCAAUGACAUUGAUGCAUUUGCUCAAAUCAUGUAAACAGUUUAAAGUCUCUCCAAAAGACAUGUUAUCUUCUGCAAGUACUUUAUGUGAAGCAUGUCAGCUAGGCAAAGUCCAUAAGCAACAUUUCUCAAUAACCGAAACAAAAACAAAAGAGGUAUUAGAAUUGAUCCAUACUGAUCUUUGGGGGCCUUCACCCACUGUGUCUAGAGAUGGAUACAAAUAUUACAUUAGUUUUGUGGAUGAUUACACUAGGUACUCUUGGAUCUAUCCUCUUAAGCUCAAAUCACAAGCAUUUGAAGUUUUCAAAUUGUGCAAAACUCAAGUUGAAAAUCAGUUUGAUACCAAAAUUAAGAUGCUACAAUCUGACCUUAGGGGAGAGUUUAGAGCAUUUACUGAUUUUCUCAAUCAAAAUGGAAUAAUCUUUAGGCACUCAUGUCCUUACAUCCAUCACCAGAAUGGUCUUGUUGAGAGGAAGCACAGGCAUAUAGUUGAACUAGGAUUAACCCUCAUGGCUCAAGCAAAUCUUCCUCUUCAAUUCUGGUGGGAAGCUGUUCAUACAGCAGUGUAUCAUAUUAAUAGAUUGCCUACCCCUGUUCUGAAAUUCUUAUCUCCUUAUGAGAAACUUUUCAAACACAAACCAGAUUACACAUUUCUAAAGUGUUUUGGUUGUCUUUGUUAUCCAUACUUGAGAGACUUUAACAAACAUAAGUUUGAUUUUCACACUUCUAAAUGCAUUUUUAUUAGAUACAAUCCCUCUUAUAAAGGAUACAAAUGCUUAGCAAGUUUUGGUAAAGUCUAUGUUCUUAGACAUGUCAUUUUUUAUGAAACACAUUCCCUUAUCCAAUAAACAUUGCAUUCUCAACAGAAAAUCACAUAUCUUCUAAAACCUCAGUGUCUAAUUUCUCUCAGCAACAUAUCUAUCAUCUUUCUACAAUAGCCUUACUCAACAGCAGCUUUGAAGGUCUUCAGUCAGCAAGCUCAGCAAGAAAUGAACAAAUGCCCUUUGGUCCCACACAUACAGAUGUUUUGAAUCAACAAGAACAUCCAUCACACACAUCCUUAGAGUUAUCAUCCUCAACCUCACCAUCACCAAACACAUUACUAAUGCAAUCAUCCAUUCUACAACCAGAGGAAACUUCUUCACAGAAUAUAGACCAAAUUCAAACCAGAAAUCAUUCCCAACCAUCUUCUCAUCCAAUGAUUACCAGAUCGAAAUCUGGAAUCUUCAAACCAAAGGUCUAUACAGUCACCUUAGCCAACAAAGAACCCAGUACAGUUCAAGAAGCUCUUAGUAGUCAGAAUUGGCAUCAAGCCAUGGUAGAUGAGUAUGAAGCUUUGAUGAAGAAUAAGACUUGGUCACUGGUACCAUUUUCAAAUGCAUACAAAGUAGUUGACAACAAAUGGGUGUUUAGACUCAAGCAAAAUACUGAUGGAAGCAUAGCCAAACACAAGGCCAGAUUGGUUGCCAAAGGUUUUCAGCAAACUGAAGGUGUGGAUUACUUUGAGACAUUUAGCCCAGUUGUAAAAGCUUCAACAGUGAGGAUUGUUUUGAGUUUAGCUGUGAUGCAUAAAUGGAAAAUAAGGCAAGUGGAUGUGAAUAAUGCCUUUUUGAAUGGAGAAUUGACAGAGGAUGUCUAUAUGUAUCAGCCUGAAGGUUUUAUUGAUCAACAAAAACCUAAUCAUGUAUGCAAGCUGAAGAAGGCCUUGUAUGGCUUAAAGCAAGCUCCUAGAGCUUGGUAUGACAAGCUUAAGAAUUGUCUGAUUGCUAAUUGGAAAUUUCAGAAUUCAAAGGCUGAUACCUCUCUUUUCUUCAAAGAAGUGCAGGGCUCAAUGAUACUCAUCUUAAUCUAUGUAGAUGACAUUCUAAUGACAGGACCUGACAAUGGUGAACUGGAGAAAUUCAUCUCAAAAUUCAGUAAGACUUUUGCUUUAAAAGACUUGGGAAUUCUGUCAUAUUUUCUAGGAAUAGAAGUGUCCUAUGCUGAAGAUUGCAUCUAUCUAUCUCAGAAGAAAUAUAUCUUGGAUUUGUUAUCCAAAGCUAAUAUGCAAAAUUGUAAAGGCUGUGACACUCCCAUAGUUACUGGAUCAAAGCUUCAGAAAGAAGUCACAGGCUGUUUGGGUCAAUAUAUUGAGGAUGCAACAAGCUAUAGAAGCUUAGUUGGAGGUUUACAAUAUCUAGUAUUAACCAUACCAGAGAUAGCAUUUGCUGUGCAUAAGUUGAGCCAGUAUGUGACAGCUCCAACACUCCAGCAUGUUAUGGCUUGUAAAAGAGUUCUUAGAUACCUCAAGGAGACUGCAGAUUAUGGUUUGAAGUUUUCAGCAGGUGGGGAAAUGAAGAUCACAGGAUUUACAGAUGCAGAUUGGGCAUGUGAUGUUGAUGACAGAAAAUCAAUAGGAGCCUAUUGCAUUUAUUUUGGAAGCAAUCUAAUUUCCUGGUCAUCCAAGAAGCAGGCUGUGGUUACACGAUCCAGUGCAGAGAGUGAAUAUCGUGCUCUUGCUUCUGCAAGUGCAGAGAUAACAUGGAUCCAGUCGUUAUUCAAUGAACUUAGCAUUAAGUGUACUUCAUUACCAACUAUCUGGUGUGACAAUAUAAGUGCAACAGAGUUGGCCAAGAAUCCAGUUUAUCAUUCAAGGACUAAACACAUUGAACUGGAUAUGCACUUUAUUAGAGACAAGGUUUUGGCAAAGGAGUUAGAGAUUAACUAUAUUCCCAGCGAGGAGCAAAUUGCUGAUGCUUUGACAAAGCCUCUGACAUUUAUUCAUUUCAACUAUUUCAGAGCCAAACUCAAUGUGCAACCAUGCCCCUUGAGUUUGAGGGGGACUGUCAAGGAAGCUCAUAAUGCAUGGAAGGAUGCAGCACACGUGUGAGAUGAAUAUAGUCAGCUGAAUCAAUUGAAGAGUGGAGUGCCAGCUCAGCUGAAGUUAGUUAGACACGUUAAGAUCAAGUUUUAGUUAGUUCUUCAUUUUCUGUUAAGCUGAAAAACAGCUGAGUAUAAAUACAAGCAUAUUGUAAUCAUUUUGAAGUUAAGUAAAAAUAAAAUAAAGCAUUUGAUUCCAGAAGUUCUUUUACAAAUUUUCUUAGCACUUUAGAUACAUUUUCUCAGUAACCAAACAGUCUGUUCAUUCAAGCUUUUAAGCUUUCAAACAAGUACUUCUAGCAUAGCCGCCGCUACUUGAGCCAUACAGAGCCGCAUGUGCCUCGGUGAAGUUUGUUGACAUAGGCUCGUAGUAUUCAGCUGUAACAACAUGAACCUAAUUCAAGUUUCGUUGCAUCGAUUUCAAAAGGUACGAAUUGUCUGGUGGUAAAUAACGAAAUCUUGCGGUCAGGAUCAGCUGGGAUUGCUGGCGGCCAGAGUUUUUUGCCUCUAAUUGUGUAGCAGCUCGGCACUCGUCAAAGAAUAAACCCGUAUUGGACAUAUCGGUGCUCGUGUUCGGAGCUUUCCAAGCAAAGUCUAGGCCCUGAAAGCCAUAAAGCCUAGCUAUUCUUAUUGAAGAGUCGAUGAAAGAUUUCCUGUGAGAAGAAUUUCUCACCAUUGAAGAAUAUAUAGAAUAGUUUGUAUAUCUUCCUUGUCUAAUGGAGAGAAGUGUAGUGGUUGAUGGGUUCUUUUGUUUCACAGUGCCUGUAAAUUUGGGGAAUAUUUGAUUUCCAUCAAACGGUGAUGAUAAAGAUAGCUGGUAAGUGGUGGAAUUGAUAUCAGCGUAAGAGCAGAUAAGGUGAGUGAAGAGAUCAUAAUUUAUGCCCGAAAUGGUGGACACUUCGCUUGGAUCCAAGUAGCCGACCCUGAUCCACGGUUUUGCUUUCGCGGGAUGAAAUUCUGAAUAGAACAACAUGUGGAAGAUGAUGCUGAUAAUUAUGGAUGCCAUUUGAGAGGCUUAUGCUUCUUAAUUACCACUUCGAUGGGAAUGGAAAUGAAUGCACACUAAUAGAAAUUAAAUAAACACAAGUUUCACAGUUCAUUAAGCUCUCAUGUGUACUAUUAACGUAUAGGUUCAUUUCGUUGCCCAAAAAAAUCUUAUGUGCUCCUGAUAGGGACACAUACAUUGGAUGAUAAGAUGAUGAUAGGCGAUGCGACCAUUGCCCAAGAACUAAGAUUUUCUUCUAUCGCGUGGGUGACUUUUCAUGAAGAAAAAUGAUGUUUUGAUUGACAUAUGGUUAAACCGAUGCCAUAUUUCGGGCUACAAAUAUCAGUAUUGUUUUAUUAAAUAAUUAAAAAAAUUAAUUUUACGUGCAUGUUGAAGGUAAUAUUGCAGUCUUUUGAGCCUGUGUUGAAUUUCAUUCGUGUGCGUUCAUUUAUUAUCUAUCCUCUUUUUUCUCUGUGUGUCUGCUAGCUCUAGUCAUCUUAAAAGAAUAACAUGUUUAAUUAAUGCAUGUAAAUGCACCGCAAAAGUAGUUAAGAAAGACUUGAUCAAAGAUCAGACAUUUUCUCUCUACUCAAAAAGUAGUUAUUGGACUAAUUAAGAUUCUAAUCCCUUUAAGAAAUAUUGAAAAAGGGUUACUGUCACUACUUCAGUCCUUGUUGUUACAUAUAUAUAUAUAUAUAUAUAUAUAUAUAAAUUUAAAGAAGCAUCACAUAAAUCCUUCCUAAUUAUAUUUUGUUUCAUUCAAGUUGUUGACUUAAUUUGUCUGCUUGGAAAAAUUAGUAAAAAGGUAAAAAUAAAAAAAUGUAAAUUCUACUUAUUAGACUAAAUAUAUAGUAUAAAUUUGCAGCAACCAGCAAAAGUUUGGAAUAUGAAAAAUCCUAUUAAUUUUUAAAAAAUCUCCGAAAGUUUGAAAACUAAUAUUUUAAGGUCCUUUUACAAUAACCAUAAUUAACAUGAAUUUACUAAAUUAGGCAAACCCGAAUUACUACCAUAUAAUAAAAUUUUAUAACAGAAAUAAGAAAACAAAACAAAUAGCAUCAAAUCUUAUAUCUAAAAAAAAAUCUUGAAAUAAAUAGAAAAAAUAAGAAAAUAACUAAAACUUGCAAAAUGACCAUGAAAGAAAUGAAAUUUCCGACUGAACCAAAGGGCCAAUACACAUAGCAUUAUUGGACUAGAUCUAUCAUGGUGCAAACUUCAAAACAGUAUAUUAUAUUUUCUAAAUGGACACAUAUAGGUUAAGUUAUGAUAUUAAAAAAUAUCCUAUUCAUCUUACACAACCAUUCUAUGUCACUAUAUCUAUACACUAAUAAUAUAACCCAAACAUUUAUGGAGCAUAACUCACAGACCUCCACUAAUUACACUAAAGUUUACUCUCAUUUUAUAAGAGAGAGAAAUGUUCUCGUUCUCCAUUUAUGGGGGAUUAAACCAAAUGGUCUGUUUUUGAUUUUCUGGUAAGUUGUGUAACGUUGGAGCUUUUUGGCACUUCUUUGACGAAAAGUCGUUCUCUUCGACAACCCAAAAUUCGGGCCAAUGGGCAAUUAUGAAAGUCCAUUGGAUGCAUUGGACCAAACUAAAAGUCCAUAUAUAUAUGUAUAUAUAUAUAUAUAUUCAAUAAAUGAAAUGAAAAAAUGCAAUUGGCUUGCAGUUGCAAAGCUUCUUUGUUUAUUAUUAUAUAAUAUAAUAUAAUAUAAUUUUAUAUCAUUUUGAAUAUCAAAAUUUUAUUUCAAAAUUUAUUUAACACUAGUGUUUAAUAUAAGAUACAAUACUACCAAAAUUCUAUUCAAUAGUUUAUUUAAAAUAGUAUUGACUAUUAAAAAUAAGAAUUUACACUAAUAUUAAAUAUUAAAUUCAACAAUUAGUAACAUUAUUUAAAAUAAUUAUAGUAUUUAAAUGGUUAUUUAUCUUUAUUAAAUAAGAUUUAACAUAAUCCUCUGCGACAUUUUACUAAAUAAAUACAGUACUAUAUAUAAUCCAAUCUAAUCUUAAACAAUAAUCUAUUCUAUUCCUACCUUCCAAAUAUAAACACAAUAGAUAAUGAGAGCAUGAGCUAUGAGAUUAUAAAUCAUGGAUCAAGGGAGUAGAGAUACAGACCUUGAGAUCAUAGAUCGUAGACUAUUAGAGACUAAAGACCGUGGACAAAUCCGAGUACAUUAAAAAAAGGGGAAUUUUAGUCAAAUGUAGAUUGAUAUUAAGGAAUUCAGCAAGCAAGCUACAAGAAUAUCCAAAAGCGUGUAAUUUAUGUUUAAGGAAACAAGUGGAGAUAGAGAUGAAAUUGUAAAUUCAUCCCAAUCUUAAGUGGCUUAAUUCAAGAUGUAUGUUACCUACAAGCACAAUAAUAUGUACACGUUAUGUAUACAUGCAUCACAUACGUGCGUCGAUCAUCGAUGUAAAAGUAACAGUAAAUUUCUAGUAAAACAAACAUCAUUACUUUUAGUAUAAGAUGUAAAAAAUAUCAAUUAAUAACCAUUAGAAAAUAAAAAUUUAUGUAAUUGAUGCAGAUAAAUGGAAUCAAGUAGUAACAUUUCCUUCUCAUUGAAGAGAAAAGAUUAAAAAAAAGAAAAGGGGGGGGGGGGGGGGGGGGGAGGAGCGCAAACAUGACAAUUAUUUUUAUCCGCACGUGCCAUGAUAAUCGAUAAUCCGAUAUACCAACCGCGUCUAAUUGUCUGAAUUCUCAAGCUUAUCAAGCUUGCUCAAUCGCACCGCAGACACUGACCAUGGGAGAUUAAUCACCACUCGCAGUAUUAGGCGCGUGAAGGACACAUUCGCCAAUAAUUUAUAGCGGACAGUAGCAUUCCCGAUGCUGCGCGGAGAAAAAUAGUUGGGCUUGCGAAAGUUAAAUUGACUUGACUCGACAGAGUGAAGAAUGGUGGUGGUUGCUGUUAAGCAGUCGGUACUUCUGGCGACUGCUUGGCUUACACGCAGUUCCCGGGGGUGUCAUUUGACUGUGAAAGAGAAUUUUGGCUUUAUUGAUAUCUUGUUGGAUUUGGAAUUUUGGAUGGCUUCGUGUAGACCAUAAGACACGAUAUCGUUCAUAACACGUUAGCAUUCUUUCUCACGGGAGAAAAACUCGGGUGGGAGCAGAUGUACCAUCUCAACUGCCGUUUAUAAAUGGCUGUCAAAUAAUUAAUCAAAAUUUUAUUAUUUACGGUUAUAAUUGGAAUGAUAAAAAAUCAAUUCGAUGUUAUUCUUUGUGGCUCUGCUUAGAAUACUAAAAAAUCAAAUCGACUUAUUUAUUUUUAUAUUGAUCAUUACAAGUCUCUUGAAUUUUUUACCUACUUCAUUAACUUGUUAUUUUGAGUUGUACGUAACAUGGCUUUUUUUGUUUUUUACUUUACUUUGGUUUUCUUUAUAACCCAUAAAAAUUUUCUUGUUAAGACUGUGUGAACCAAUUGAAACUUCAGAUUCAUACUAGAACUAUGAUGAUUUGAUAAGAGCUUCAAAUUAAAUCCACAGAUUCUAUGAAAAGAAAAGAAAAGAAAAAGUCUUUUAUUGGUAAAAGAAGAAAGCUCUUCGGCACUGAUCCGAAGAAAAAUCAUUCUCCAUACAAUGAGCAAAACAAAGUCCAAUUCGCAUUACAUAGAAGUAAAACCGAAGCAUUGGACUAAAAGCAUACAUUAGUCUUAUUUUUCGUUACUGAUAACAUUUUUUUUCCCUUAUAUUAUCACCUUAAUUAAGAAAAAUAAUAAUUUGUUUAACUAAUUACAAAAAAGGAUGGCUAUAUACAAUAUUCUUGUGUUGGAUGGCCUUAAAAGUCAAUUCUUUUGAAACAGGAAAACUGGUAUCGUUUUUCAAAACACAAAAAUAUUAUGUUAAGAAAAUGAAUGGUCUUUAAGAGUUAUGACAAUGAUAUCAAUAAAAUUACAAAAUCUUAAGAGUUUAUAGAUGUAGUUAGUGAUAUUACAUUACAUUAAUUAAUACAAUGCAAAUUGUUUACUAAUAGAGCCUCAGGAGAGUGAUUCAUUAUUUAGUUGGCCAAUUAAACAACUGCAGCAGUCACUAGCAGCUUGCCAAGAGCUAGCAUAGAUCAAUUGUUCAUCUACCAACCAAUUUUGAAAUUGUUACAUCAUUACUUGAACAUAUUUCCAAUCCAAUCGUGGCUUUGUUUUGUUCAUCUUCAUAAGCUUUGUUUGAGAAACUUGCAGGCUUCUUUGGAGUCAUUAUAUCAGCUGUAUUUUCAUUUUCGAUCAACGAAGAAAUUUCUAGUAUAGAAGGUCUAUUGUUUGGGUUCUCCUGAACACAUAGCAAAGCUACUUGCAGACAUGUCAAUAAUUUCCAUGAGGAAUGCGUAUCAUCUAGUGAUGGAUCCAUUAACUCCGUGCCUUUCCCAUCCUUCCACAACUCGUAUGCCUGAAAACAUCAAAUAUGUUAUUGACUAACAUUCAAUUAAUUAGCACUGUAAUGUUUUGAUUCAGUGAAUAUUAAAAAGGGGGUUAUGAAGAAACUUACAUACUCUACAAGGCUUAGAUUUUCAUUUUGACCAUAUCGAAUGAAAAGUCUUCGCCCACUUAUAAUUUGCAGAAGCAAAACCCCAAAACUGUAGACAUCAGAUUUAGUGGAGUAGAUGCCUCUUCCGACAUAUUCAGGAGGGAUAUAGCCUCUGUAGUAUCAAGUAAUUAUAAAUGUCAGUGUUUGACAUAAAAGAUUAAGUUGAUUGGUAAAGGUUCAACAAUAAUAUUAAAGGCAUGUCAGACAAUAAUAGACAAAUAUACACUUACUGUGUUCCAACAAUUCGAUUUGUGUUUGCUUCAAGAUCAUCUUUCACAAAAAUUCUAGCCAAGCCAAAAUAUGAUAUUUUAGGUGUCAAAUCUUCAUCCAACAAAAUAUUACUAACUUUUAAGUCUCGAUGAAUAAUUGUUAAUCUAGAAUAUUCUUGGAGAUAGAGAAGCCCCUGAAUAAUUCCUUAAAUGAUAUAAAUACGUUUUUUCAAAUCCAAAAUAAGCCUUCGGAUGGGAUCUGCAUCAAAU